AAACCCUCAAGCACAGCUUGGUGUUGGGUGCUUGUCCCGCCUCUGCGCGGCGACUCACCUCAAAGUCAUUGGCAGCCCGCAUCCGCCGGCCGUGAGCGCAGCACAGUCGCGCCCUAGGUCCCGGCAGGUCGGCUCUCCAGAAGCACUUCUUCCAC
This 155-nucleotide unclassified non-coding RNA is filed under the name uncultured Roussoella. RNAcentral's name for it is "sequence contains ITS2". Lineage: Eukaryota; Fungi; Ascomycota; Dothideomycetes; Pleosporales; Thyridariaceae. The record is from RNAcentral.